UACGUAGGGGGCAAGCGUUGUCCGGAUUUACUGGGCGUAAAGAGCGUGUAGGCGGCCACGCAGGUCCGUUGUGAAAACUGGAGGCUCAACCUCCAGCUGUCGACGGAAACCGUAUGGCUAGAGUCCGGAAGAGGAGAGUGGAAUUCCUGGUGUAGCGGUGAAAUGCGCAGAUAUCGUAAGGAAGACCAGUGGCGAAGGCGGGUCUCUGGACAGUUCCUGACGCUGAGGCACGAAGGUCAGGGGAGCAAACGGG
This 253-nucleotide ribosomal RNA is filed under the name uncultured bacterium. RNAcentral describes it as "partial 16S ribosomal RNA". It matches the Rfam family "Bacterial small subunit ribosomal RNA", at positions 524 to 776 of the family's 1533-position model. The record is from RNAcentral.